CCUACGGGUGGCAGCAGUGGGGAAUAUUGGACAAUGGGCGAAAGCCUGAUCCAGCCAUGCCGCGUGUGUGAACAAGGCCUUCGGGUUGUAAAGCACUUUCAGUGGGGAAGAAAGCCUUGGGGCUAAUACCCUCGAGGAAGGACAUCACCCACAGAAGAAGCACCGGCUAACUCCGUGCCAGCAGCCGCGGUAAUACGGAGGGUGCGAGCGUUAAUCGGAAUUACUGGGCGUAAAGCGCGCGUAGGCGGUCUGAUAAGCCGGUUGUGAAAGCCCCGGGCUCAACCUGGGAACGGCAUCCGGAACUGUCAGGCUAGAGUGCAGGAGAGGAAGGUAGAAUUCCCGGUGUAGCGGUGAAAUGCGUAGAGAUCGGGAGGAAUACCAGUGGCGAAGGCGGCCUUCUGGACUGACACUGACGCUGAGGUGCGAAAGCGUGGGUAGCAAACAGGAUUAGAUACCCGAGUAGUC
This 465-nucleotide ribosomal RNA is filed under the name Vreelandella stevensii. Its description in RNAcentral is "partial 16S ribosomal RNA". It matches the Rfam family "Bacterial small subunit ribosomal RNA", at positions 338 to 795 of the family's 1533-position model. Lineage: Bacteria; Pseudomonadati; Pseudomonadota; Gammaproteobacteria; Oceanospirillales; Halomonadaceae. The record is from RNAcentral.